Brassica oleracea var. oleracea is the source of this 735-nucleotide long non-coding RNA. RefSeq lists it as uncharacterized. NCBI's taxonomy places the organism in Eukaryota, Viridiplantae, Streptophyta, Magnoliopsida, Brassicales, Brassicaceae. The record is from RefSeq and is a predicted model, not a curated record. The transcript is spliced from 3 exons.
GCUGGUUAAGCUGCCCUUAAUCGUCGUUACUUACGACGACCUUUGGAUCCAUUACAGAAGAAGAACAGAUGUCUCCUGCCCUAUUCAUCAACUUAGUGCUCUUUCUCAUGUUGUUCUUUAAUCGAAACAAGAAGGGAAAACAAAGAUCCGAUCCGAGUUGACCCGAGAUCCCGUUUUCUGUGAUCGUUAAAGCAAUAGAUCUGUUUCUCCAGACUCAAAGACAUCAUGAAAAUGAAACCUAGAAGGAAAAGAGACUCAUGAACAACAGAAGCGUUUUCAAUCUCAGAUUUAACAAAGAUGACCAAAAUCUAAUGGAAAGAGUAAGCCGUCAUCUCUGAUUCUACCUCUUCCUCUUGGCCGUUCUGAAUCUCUACAUUACUGUGCGUUUAUCCACUCUUAAUCAUUCAUUACUGUUCUUUAAUCCUCUCUUCAUCAGCGAUGAUUUCCUUCCAACUCCCUCUCUUUCUACUCCUAUAUUACCCACUUUGUGAAAGGUUUAAUCAAAAUCAAACUCUUCAGGGGAACUGUGAAGCCUUUGAGUGCCUCAGCUUGCAAUCAGAAGCAAUCUUUUCCGGUGGGAUCUCAAGAUCAAAGCUUUGAUGUGUGUCUUAUCAAAAAAAAAGAAGAAGCUUUGAUGUGUGUCACUGGCAGCGAAUCUCUUAUCGUUAUUGUUCUAUCUGGAAUUACGGAAUCUGGAUUUAAAGGUAACUGAACUUUGUAUCCAUUACAUUUUGC